This 460-nucleotide ribosomal RNA is filed under the name uncultured bacterium. RNAcentral's name for it is "partial 16S ribosomal RNA". It matches the Rfam family "Bacterial small subunit ribosomal RNA", at positions 338 to 795 of the family's 1533-position model. The record is from RNAcentral.
CCUACGGGUGGCAGCAGUGAGGAAUAUUGGUCAAUGGACGAGAGUCUGAACCAGCCAAGUAGCGUGAAGGAUGACUGCCCUAUGGGUUGUAAACUUCUUUUAUAUGGGAAUAAAAUGUUCCACGUGUGGGACUUUGUAUGUACCAUAUGAAUAAGGAUCGGCUAACUCCGUGCCAGCAGCCGCGGUAAUACGGAGGAUCCGAGCGUUAUCCGGAUUUAUUGGGUUUAAAGGGAGCGUAGGUGGAUUGUUAAGUCAGUUGUGAAAGUUUGCGGCUCAACCGUAAAAUUGCAGUUGAAACUGGCAGUCUUGAGUACAGUAGAGGUAGGCGGAAUUCGUGGUGUAGCGGUGAAAUGCUUAGAUAUCACGAAGAACUCCGAUUGCGAAGGCAGCUCGCUGGACUGCAACUGACGCUGAGGCUCGAAAGUGUGGGUAUCAAACAGGAUUAGAUACCCCGGUAGUC